AUGUCCUCUGGGGCUAGCGCGAGCGCCCUGCAGUGCCUGGUGGAGCAGCUCAAGUUGGAGGCUGGCGUGGAGAGGAUCAAUGUCUCUCAGGCAGCCGCAGAGCUUCAACAGUACUGUAUGCAGAAUGCCUGCAAGGAUGCCCUGCUGGUGGGUGUUCUAGCUGGAAGUAACCCCUUCUGGGAACCCAGAUCCUGUGCUUUACUCUGA
RNAcentral lists this long non-coding RNA (207 nucleotides) under Homo sapiens (human). Its description in RNAcentral is "non-protein coding lnc-MINDY2-4:1". Lineage: Eukaryota; Metazoa; Chordata; Mammalia; Primates; Hominidae. The record is from RNAcentral.